AGCAUGGAUCAUGAAGAGAUUUAACUCAACUAUGAUCCAUCAAGUAUUUCACUUUCAUCCUAAUUAAGAGACUCUUCCUUUCUCUACUUCUCUUGUGUUACCCAAGUAUGGGCUAUGAAGGGAUUCUGACUCAACUAUAACCCAUCAAAGUUUCUAUAAGGAAAGAGAAGAAAGGAUUUAGAAAUUUGUGAGUCUUCUACCAAUAAUUUUCUCUUGCACC
This 220-nucleotide long non-coding RNA is filed under the name Elaeis guineensis (African oil palm). RNAcentral's name for it is "long non-coding RNA (EGUI_LNC072002)". Lineage: Eukaryota; Viridiplantae; Streptophyta; Magnoliopsida; Arecales; Arecaceae. The record is from RNAcentral.